Molecule: ribosomal RNA, 381 nt
Filed under: uncultured eukaryote
Lineage: Eukaryota
Description: SSU rRNA
Rfam family: Eukaryotic small subunit ribosomal RNA
Source: RNAcentral
AGCUCCAAUAGCGUAUAUUAAAGUUGUUGCGGUUAAAAAGCUCGUAGUUGGAUUUCUGUCGAGGAUGGCCGGUCCGCACUUUGUGCGUGCAUCUGGUUCAGCCUUGGCAUCCUCCUGGGGAACGUAUCUGCGCUUAAUUGCGUGGUGCGGUAUCCAGGACUUUUACUUUGAGGAAAUUAGAGUGUUCACGGCAGGCAAACGCCUUGAAUACAUUAGCAUGGAAUAAUAAUAUAGGACCUUGGUCCCAUUUUGUUGGUUUCUGGAACUGAGGUAAUGAUUAAUAGGGAUAAUUGGGGGCAUUCGUAUUAACGUGUCAGAGGUGGAAUUCUUGGAUUACGUUACGACGAACUACUGCGAAAGCAUUUGCCAAGGAUGUUUUCA